CUUUAGUUAUGCCACCCACGACCUCUCCAUGAUUGCAUACAGCCAUACAUGUCCUUAUCAAAGUUCCCACUUUCUUCCCAACCCUAGCCCUCUUAAAAAUGUUGUCUCCUUCUCAGUACUCUCACCAAUUCCAAGCUUGUUAUAAUUACCAUUAUCUUGUUGUUCUCUUCUGAGGUUAUUUUGUUCUGCGUUUUGUUUUCUCAAUGUCAAACUCCGAAGUCUUUUUAUCUUCACCUUCUUUGCCUGAGCCAUCUCCUGUUAGGGUUCAACUGGUUUCUAAAUCUGUAUCCGACCGAUUACUCGAGAAGUUUUUCGAUGUAUCUCAAUACAACUUUGAUUAUGAGAAGAGUGGACUUUGGUCUCCCCCAGUUCGGAGAAGUGCCUUUUUAAGCUCACCUGGCAGAAUAUUCACUGAACAAGAAAUGCUUGAGAGGCUCAGGAGUGUAAUGGACAGACGUCGUAGUAGAAGAUAUAAUAUUUGUUUCAGCACAUUUUGCUGCUCUUGAAGGAUUUACGGAAGACCUUCUUUCAAUAAUGGGUACUGUCACCAGUGCAGUUUAACAACAAAAGCAGAGACAGAGAAAAGAAAGAAACAAGAGAAACCAACAGAAGAGUUACUGUAUACUUAGGAUAAUUGUGCGCAAAGUGAAGACAAGAUUUGGGAUGGGAAGAUGCUAGAUUGGAAUAUCACAUGGAAAUGACAUGCUAAUCAUGUGGUCAUCAGUUUUGGAUUGGUAACCAAAUCCCCAAAAUCAUAACUCAUGCGCUGCGGACAAUACUUUUGUGGGGUCCCGGAGCUGCAACGUAUGCAUGCAAAUUACAAGGAGAAUAAAUUUAAAAGGCCAGCCUGACUUGAGCUGCUCUCAGCCUCUCACCAUGCAGACAGCCAAAGAAAUUUGUUUUUCUUUCAGCAAUCUAAUCUGUCUAGACAUUGAAUCAGAGAGCCCUCCAAAGUCAAGCUGGUCCUGUCCAGCCCUGUUUCUGCGUCGUACAGGACAGUUUUUUUCAGAAACAAGUUCUGCCCUCUUGUUCUUCAAUCCUUAUUUUGGGAUAUCAAAGUGAGGUGUAAACUGAAGGGAUCGAGUAAAAGGAAAAUAGACGAAAGAGCUUUCAUAGUACUUUUACUGUUCAUCGCAAACAGUGAACUUCAUCAAGUCCCAUGUAGCUAUGGAAGUACCUGUCAACUAUAUUUAUGGCCUUGGGGAGACAGUGGGGCCCUU
This is an RNA transcript of Theobroma umbraticum, 1220 nucleotides long. RefSeq lists it as uncharacterized. NCBI's taxonomy places the organism in Eukaryota, Viridiplantae, Streptophyta, Magnoliopsida, Malvales, Malvaceae. The record is from RefSeq and is a predicted model, not a curated record.